RNAcentral lists this ribosomal RNA (440 nucleotides) under uncultured bacterium. RNAcentral describes it as "bacterial SSU rRNA". It matches the Rfam family "Bacterial small subunit ribosomal RNA", at positions 30 to 507 of the family's 1533-position model. The record is from RNAcentral.
AUUGAACGCUGGCGGUAUGCUUAAGACAUGCAAGUCGAACGGUAACAGGUUAAGCUGACGAGUGGCGGACGAGUGAGUAACGCGUGGGAAUCUACCUUGUAGUGGGGGAUAAGCCAGGGAAACUUGGACUAAUACCGCAUACGCCCUAAGGGGGAAAGGCGCAAGUCGCUAUAAGAUGAGCCCGCGUCUGAUUAGGUAGUUGGUGGGGUAAAGGCCUACCAAGCCGACGAUCAGUAGCUGGUCUGAGAGGAUGAUCAGCCACGUCGGGACUGAGACACGGCCCGGACUCCUACGGGAGGCAGCAGUCGGGAAUAUUGGACAAUGAGGGAAACCCUGAUCCAGCAAUACCGCGUGUGUGAAGAAGGCCUGCGGGUUGUAAAGCACUUUCAGUUGGGAAGAUAAUGACGUUACCAACAGAAGAAGCACCGGCUAACUCCGUG